Long non-coding RNA from Hyla sarda, 316 nucleotides. RefSeq lists it as uncharacterized. The transcript has 3 exons. The record is from RefSeq and is a predicted model, not a curated record. Lineage: Eukaryota; Metazoa; Chordata; Amphibia; Anura; Hylidae.
CAACACAUCAUCUUCCAGACUGCAGUCGAAAAGGACAAGUUUGGAAAAGCAGAUAACAGAUAUAAAAGCCCACUCGCUGUAGUGACUGGAAGAAUGAGAAUUUCUGGUGUUUCAAGAUGCAACGACAAAGUGGAGAUCAGUGGUGACCUGGUGAAUGCCACAAUGGUAGAAGUGGGGGAGUGGGAAGGCCAGUGAAACUGUUCAGGGUCACAAAUUCACAGUGUGUCUGAGUGCUCAAUAUACCUUAAAAAGACAACACAUUGAAGAGCAGUCGGUGACAUUUCUAUGGCAGCUCCCUCCCUUUUGCUGUUAUUCU